UGAUAGUACCAGAAGAGGAAGAGACGGCUAACUCUGUGCCAGCAGCCGCGGUAAUACAGAGGUCUCAAGCGUUGUUCGGAUUCAUUGGGCGUAAAGGGUGCGUAGGCGGCGCGGUAAGUCGGGUGUGAAAUCUCGGGGCUCAACUCCGAAACUGCAUUCGAUACUACCGUGCUUGAGGACUGGAGAGGAGACUGGAAUUUACGGUGUAGCGGUGAAAUGCGUAGAUAUCGUAAGGAAGACCAGUGGCGAAGGCGGGUCUCUGGACAGUUCCUGACGCUGAGGCACGAAGGCCAGGGGAGCAAACGGGAUUAGAUACCCCGGUAGUCCUGGCAGUAAACGGUGCACGUUUGGUGUGGGAGGAUUCGACCCCUUCUGCGCCGGAGCUAGCGCGUUAAACGUGCCGCCUGGGGAGUACGGUCGCAUGAUUAAAACUCAAAGAAAUUGACGGGGGCCCGCGCAAGCGGUGGAGUAUGUGGCUCAAUUCGAUGCAACGCGAAGAACCUUACCUGGCCUUGACAUGCAUCUCUAAGUUGGUGAAAGCCAGCGAGUCCCGAAAGGGACAAUU
RNAcentral lists this ribosomal RNA (565 nucleotides) under uncultured Verrucomicrobiota bacterium. RNAcentral describes it as "bacterial SSU rRNA". It matches the Rfam family "Bacterial small subunit ribosomal RNA", at positions 470 to 1030 of the family's 1533-position model. The record is from RNAcentral. Lineage: Bacteria; Pseudomonadati; Verrucomicrobiota.